RNAcentral lists this ribosomal RNA (253 nucleotides) under uncultured bacterium. RNAcentral's name for it is "partial 16S ribosomal RNA". It matches the Rfam family "Bacterial small subunit ribosomal RNA", at positions 524 to 776 of the family's 1533-position model. The record is from RNAcentral.
UACGUAGGGUGCAAGCGUUAUCCGGAAUUAUUGGGCGUAAAGAGCUCGUAGGCGGUUUGUCGCGUCUGCUGUGAAAACUGGAGGCUCAACCUCCAGCCUGCAGUGGGUACGGGCAGACUAGAGUGCGGUAGGGGAGAUUGGAAUUCUUGGUGUAGCGGUGGAAUGCGCAGAUAUCAGGAGGAACACCAAUGGCGAAGGCAGAUCUCUGGGCCGUAACUGACGCUGAGGAGCGAAAGCAUGGGGAGCGAACAGG